AUUUUUUUUUAGUUGUCAAAAGCGUUACCGCUCAUUAAUCUAUUUAUGUUUUUUAUAGCCCAAGGCCUGAGUUCAAGUUGUUUAACAAAGCUGUGGCAUCUUUUAUACACCAUCCCACUACAGUGAAGGUACCGUGUGAGGGAGCUAUUUUGGCAGCCAAGUCCAUGAAUUCGUUUUGGAGUAUGCCAGUGUGGCUUGGUUAUGUAGUUGCCGUGACUGGACUUAAGAAUUGCAAUUGCGCUGUUUCUGCAUUUGUAAAAUACUAGCUGUAUUCAUAUCAUAUUUGUUUUUGGCUGUUCCCUUAAAUAAAUCUAGGUCUACCCUUAUUUUACUAUUAUGUACAGGUAAUGGAUCUCAGAUUUUAACUUGAUCUAGGAUAUGUUUAAAGUCUUUUUAUAAUUUGGCAUAACUAGUAUUAGUGUAUUAGUGUUUCUUUAUCUGGCAACUCAUGGGCAAAAACUUUUAUCAAUUCUUUUGCCGUUUGAAAACAAAUUGUGUACUCGGGCGGAAGCUCCGCCGCCAUGUGAUAUAAGAUCGGUACCUGUGUA
Long non-coding RNA from Drosophila gunungcola (fruit fly), 548 nucleotides. RefSeq lists it as uncharacterized. The record is from RefSeq and is a predicted model, not a curated record. The transcript is spliced from 3 exons. NCBI's taxonomy places the organism in Eukaryota, Metazoa, Arthropoda, Insecta, Diptera, Drosophilidae.